UACGGGGGGGGCAAGCGUUGUUCGGAAUUACUGGACGUAAAGGGCUCGUAGGCGGCCAACUAAGUCAGACGUGAAAUCCCUCGGCUUAACCGGGGAACUGCGUCUGAUACUGGAUGGCUUGAGAUUGGGAGAGGGAUGCGGAAUUCCAGGUGUAGCGGUGAAAUGCGUAGAUAUCUGGAGGAACACCGGUGGCGAAGGCGGCAUCCUGGACCAACACUGACGCUGAGUGAGCGAAAGCCAGGGGAGCAAACGGG
RNAcentral lists this ribosomal RNA (254 nucleotides) under uncultured bacterium. Its description in RNAcentral is "partial 16S ribosomal RNA". It matches the Rfam family "Bacterial small subunit ribosomal RNA", at positions 524 to 776 of the family's 1533-position model. The record is from RNAcentral.